This 85-nucleotide ribosomal RNA is filed under the name Urocitellus parryii (Arctic ground squirrel). The record is from RNAcentral. Lineage: Eukaryota; Metazoa; Chordata; Mammalia; Rodentia; Sciuridae.
CUCUAUGGCCAUCCCACCCUGAAUAUGCCCUGUCUUGUCUGAUCUCCGAAGUUAAGCAGGGUUGGGCCUGGCUGGUACUUGGAUG